This 600-nucleotide ribosomal RNA is filed under the name uncultured Actinomycetes bacterium. RNAcentral describes it as "bacterial SSU rRNA". It matches the Rfam family "Bacterial small subunit ribosomal RNA", at positions 252 to 866 of the family's 1533-position model. Lineage: Bacteria; Bacillati; Actinomycetota; Actinomycetes. The record is from RNAcentral.
GUGAGGUAAUGGCUCACCAAGGCAUCGACGGGUAGCUGGUCUGAGAGGACGAUCAGCCACACUGGGACUGAGACACGGCCCAGACUCCUACGGGAGGCAGCAGUGGGGAAUCUUGCGCAAUGGGCGAAAGCCUGACGCAGCAACGCCUCGUGAGGGAAGACGGCUCCCGGGUUGUAAACCUCUUUCAGCAGGGACGAAAUUGACGGUACCUGCAGAAGAAGCGCCGGCCAACUACGUGCCAGCAGCCGCGGUAACGCGUAGGGCGCAAGCGUUGUCCGGAUUUAUUGGGCGUAAAGAGCUCGUAGGCGGUUUCGUAAGUCGGGUGUGAAAACUCAGGGCUCAACUCUGAGACGCCACCCGAUACUGCGAUGACUUGAGUCCGGUAGAGGAGUAGGGAAUUCCUGGUGUAGCGGUGAAAUGCGCAGAUAUCAGGAGGAACACCAGUAGCGAAGGCGCUACUCUGGGCCGGUACUGACGCUGAGGAGCGAAAGCAUGGGGAGCGAACAGGAUUAGAUACCCUGGUAGUCCAUGCCGUAAACGUUGGGCACUAGGUGUGGGUCUCAUCCAACGAGAUCCGUGCCGUAGCUAACGCAUUAAGUG